RNAcentral lists this ribosomal RNA (270 nucleotides) under uncultured archaeon. RNAcentral's name for it is "partial 16S ribosomal RNA". It matches the Rfam family "Archaeal small subunit ribosomal RNA", at positions 477 to 747 of the family's 1478-position model. The record is from RNAcentral.
CAGCACCUCAAGUGGUCAGGAUGAUUAUUGGGCCUAAAGCAUCCGUAGCCGGCGCUGUAAGUUUUCGGUUAAAUCUGUACGCUCAACGUACAGGCUGCCGGGAAUACUGCAGCGCUAGGGAGUGGGAGCGGUAGACGGUACUCGGUAGGAAGGGGUAAAAUCCUUUGAUCUAUUGAUGACCACCUGUGGCGAAGGCGGUCUACCAGAACACGUCCGACGGUGAGGGAUGAAAGCUGGGGGAGCAAACCGGAUUAGAUACCCGAGUAGUCC